Molecule: small nucleolar RNA, 115 nt
Organism: Stegostoma tigrinum
Lineage: Eukaryota; Metazoa; Chordata; Chondrichthyes; Orectolobiformes; Stegostomatidae
Product: small nucleolar RNA SNORA13
Exons: 1
Source: RefSeq, a predicted model, not a curated record
UGCCUUUUGUGUUGCCCACUUAAUUCUUUUACAUAGAUGAGUGAGGUGUCAAAAAAGGCAUAAAGUAACUUGAGCUAUUUCAUGCAUCCUGUUGCUGUUGUGCUUCAAGACAUUG